CGGCCGCGUCGACAACGCUGGCGGCGUGCCUAAUACAUGCAAGUAGAACGCUGAAGAGAGGAGCUUGCUCGUUCUUGGAUGAGUUGCGAACGGGUGAGUAACGCGUAGGUAACCUGCCUUGUAGCGGGGGAUAACUAUUGGAAACGAUAGCUAAUACCGCAUAACAAUGGAUGACACAUGUCAUUUAUUUGAAAGGGGCAAUUGCUCCACUACAAGAUGGACCUGCGUUGUAUUAGCUAGUAGGUGAGGUAACGGCUCACCUAGGCGACGAUACAUAGCCGACCUGAGAGGGUGAUCGGCCACACCUGGGACUGAGACACGGCCCAGACUCCUACGGGAGGUCAGCAGUAGGGAAUCUUCGGCAAUGGGGGCAACCCUGACCGAGCAACGCGCGUGAGUGAAGAAGGUUUUCGGAUCGUAAAGCUCUGUUGUAAGUCAAGAACGAGUGUGAGAGUGGAAAACUUCACACUGGUGACGGUAGCUUACCGAGAAAGGGUACGGCUAACUACGGUGCCUAGCAGCCGCGGUAAUUACCGGG
RNAcentral lists this ribosomal RNA (538 nucleotides) under uncultured bacterium. Its description in RNAcentral is "bacterial SSU rRNA". It matches the Rfam family "Bacterial small subunit ribosomal RNA", at positions 32 to 531 of the family's 1533-position model. The record is from RNAcentral.